GCGGGUUCAGCCCGCGGGAUGUUCCCGGAAGGGAGAACCACAAA
RNAcentral lists this non-coding RNA (44 nucleotides) under Thermococcus zilligii AN1. RNAcentral describes it as "eL15-Euryarchaeota ribosomal protein leader". It matches the Rfam family "eL15-Euryarchaeota ribosomal protein leader". The record is from RNAcentral. Lineage: Archaea; Methanobacteriati; Methanobacteriota; Thermococci; Thermococcales; Thermococcaceae.